This 253-nucleotide ribosomal RNA is filed under the name uncultured bacterium. RNAcentral's name for it is "partial 16S ribosomal RNA". It matches the Rfam family "Bacterial small subunit ribosomal RNA", at positions 524 to 776 of the family's 1533-position model. The record is from RNAcentral.
UACGGAGGGGGCGAGCGUUAUUCGGAAUUAUUGGGCGUAAAGGGCGCGUAGGCGGCCCUGUAAGUCAAAGGUGAAAUCCCUCGGCUCAACUGAGGAACUGCCUUUGAAACUGCAGGGCUUGAGGCCGGGAGGGGGUAGCGGAAUUCCCAAUGUAGCGGUGAAAUGCGUAGAUAUUGGGAGGAACACCAGUGGCGAAGGCGGCAUCCUGGACCGGCAUUGACGCUGAGGAGCGAAAGCCAGGGGAGCAAACGGG